Molecule: transfer RNA, 72 nt
Filed under: Gehyra oceanica (Pacific dtella)
Lineage: Eukaryota; Metazoa; Chordata; Lepidosauria; Squamata; Gekkonidae
Description: tRNA-Tyr
Source: RNAcentral
GGUAGUGUGGCUGAGAACAAGGCGGCGAGCUGUAGACUCGCGCAGGGGGAAAAAAGGGGGCCCUCACUAUCA